RNAcentral lists this transfer RNA (73 nucleotides) under Palinurellus wieneckii. RNAcentral's name for it is "tRNA-Tyr". Lineage: Eukaryota; Metazoa; Arthropoda; Malacostraca; Decapoda; Synaxidae. The record is from RNAcentral.
AGAGUGGCUGAAUAAUAGGCGGUAGAUUGUAAGUCUAUUUAUAAGUUAUAUACUUCUCUGUUAGUAGAUGUAG